UUCAUUGUUUGAAUAAGGAUUGUAUCUAGGUGACCACAGUGGUCAUCUGGAGUGGAUACAAACUAGAUCGAGAUGACUACAGUGACCUUGGAAUAAGACUGAAACAGACAAACAAAUAUUAGUGUAGAUGCCAUUCAUUCAUAAAGUAACAAGUACAUUUAGGUAUUUUCCUAGUGUUGGUUGACAUAGUGCAUGGAUUGUGCCAUUUUGCAAAUAAAACUUUGAUUCAGUUUGGAGAGAACAUUUUACAGGGGGACGUGAUAAAUAUUCACACCUCACAGAAGGCAGUGGACAAGUUGAGGCUUGAGAUAGCUACUUCCCUCCUCAGAGAAUCAGAUGAUCUAAGCGGCUUGUGCUUUUAUUGUGGGAUGGAGGACAAGGGUAAAACACAAUGGGUUUGCUGUGACGGAUGUGAAAGGUGGUACCACCAUGAUUGUGUACAGAGCCCUCCAGUGGAUGUGAAUUUCUUGUGUCCUGCAUGCCAGUAAAAGUUUCCCUUGCUGCAAUAUUUGUUUUACUACCUGUGCCAAGUAGUUUAUGUUUAACUUGUGUUUGUCGAGGUAUCUUGGAAAUGUUUCUUUUUCACUUUUCUGACAAUGCAAGCC
This is a long non-coding RNA of Triplophysa dalaica, 605 nucleotides long. RefSeq lists it as uncharacterized. Lineage: Eukaryota; Metazoa; Chordata; Actinopteri; Cypriniformes; Nemacheilidae. The record is from RefSeq and is a predicted model, not a curated record. The transcript is spliced from 3 exons.